Molecule: ribosomal RNA, 460 nt
Filed under: uncultured bacterium
Lineage: Bacteria
Description: partial 16S ribosomal RNA
Rfam family: Bacterial small subunit ribosomal RNA
Source: RNAcentral
CCUACGGGUGGCAGCAGUGAGGAAUAUUGGUCAAUGGGCGGGAGCCUGAACCAGCCAAGUCGCGUGAGGGAAGACGGUCCUAUGGAUUGUAAACCUCUUUAGGCGGGGAGCAAUGCCGGGCACGCGUGCCCGGAGGGAGUGUACCCGCAGAAUAAGCAUCGUCUCACUCCGUGCCAGCCGCCGCGGUAAUACGGAGGAUGCGAGUGUUAUCCGGAUUUAUUGGGUUUAAAGGGUGCGUAGGCGGAUUUUUAAGUCAGCGGUAAACUGGCCGGGCUCAACCCGGGCCGGCCGUUGAAACUGGGGGUCUUGAGUGGGCGAGAAGUAUGCGGAAUGCGUGGUGUAGCGGUGAAAUGCAUAGAUAUCGCGCAGAACUCCGAUUGCGAAGGCAGCAUGCCGGCGCCCGACUGACGCUGAGGCACGAAAGCGUGGGGAUCGAACAGGAUUAGAUACCCCUGUAGUC